Anolis carolinensis (green anole) is the source of this 2392-nucleotide long non-coding RNA. RefSeq lists it as uncharacterized. The record is from RefSeq and is a predicted model, not a curated record. The transcript is spliced from 2 exons. Lineage: Eukaryota; Metazoa; Chordata; Lepidosauria; Squamata; Anolidae.
ACACAGGUUGAGAACCACUGUUUUACAUUAUCAAUAAGCUUCUGUCCCCACUUACUUCCACAUUUAUUUGAGCCAGAGCAUACAUACGAAGCUCAGACUCAACACUCAGCUGUUGAGGAGCCAUGGAGUCACCAUGAAGUCCCUAGUGACAUUUCACCGGCAAUACGUGACAGUUGUGUCUUCCUGGUAUUCAUUUAAACAAAGGACUUCAGUACCCAUCAUCUUCAGCCAUCAUGAACCAGUUACACAAAGGGACAAGCAGACUCUGAAUUGGGCCAACCUUUUUUGUGUGGCUGGCUACCUGGACAAAAAGGACUCAUUAUAAUAUGGUACCUACCCUGAAGUUGGGAGGUUCUACCUCUGUUUUCCCUUUCCUGCCAUUUCUCCUUUCCCAGGGACGGAUCACCUAUUCUCACCAUUUUGGGCAAUAUACAGACUCGAGCAAAAAUGGACACAGGCACUUUAUGGGUCACUCACUAGUCACUUUGAAAGACAACUCCCAGUGACCCGAUGGCCCCACUUGUUAGUCUCCAGAUUAAGACACUAUAGCCCACUCAAAAGUUCAUGUUUUCCUUUGUUCCCCAUGACCAUCUCGCCCUGGCUGGACAUUGGAGGACCACAAAUCUACAUUGACAGCAGGGAACGCCUUCUGAUUGACUGCCAGGUGCCACAAUCAUGCACCAGAGGGGGAAUCCUCCCAGCUGGCUGUGACGUCAACACUGGCUCUGCCAAUCAGUGAGAAGCUGGCCUCUCCAGAAAAACAAAGGAUUUUAUUGUAUAAAAAUGUAUGUUUUACUUUUGCAAAAACAUGUCACCUUAUCUGAGUGACUUACCGCUGUCUGUGAUCGUAUAAAGUACCUCAGGGCUUCUGCUUCAACUGCUGAGAUUUCUUCAAUUAGGAACUUUGGGCACUAGCUUUUCAUCUCACCAGGCACAGACUCUGCAUGCUCAGUACUGGGUUUCAUUAGCUGUUAGCUGGGUCUUGGUAUCCACGUACCGGGUUUCGCUAUCCAUGGUUUGAAUCUCACUAUCCAUGAACUGCUCUAAAUUGCUCAAUAUCAAAGCCAUUCGAGAUCAUUGCCACAACAUUACUUUUUUCCUUUAAACAGAAUUCCUUCCUAAUUCUUCCUGCUCUUUUAUGAUGAUGUAUUAGCUUUUUCAUUCUCACUCACACAUGAACUGACUUGCAUGCUAUAAUAACUUUAAGCAAGUAGUCAUUCUGCCCAAUUGUUUAACAUUCAAGAAGAACAUAAUGAUGACAGUUUGCAGAUGGCAGUUUGCAGAGUGUUGUCUAGAGAAAUCUAAUGUAGCAGUUUUCAAAGAGAUCACAUGUUUCAUUAUAAAAGGGGGGUUAACAGCAACUUUAAGACUAACAUUUAUUUUAGAAUGAGCUUUAAUUGAUUUCAAUCAAAGUGGAAAAUGAAAUCACUUUUGAUUGAAACUUUCAUACUAAAAUAGUCCAAAAAAGUGCUAGCAGAUUCCUUUCCAGUCUCGCACCCACCUUUGACUUUCUUUUCUACUGCAUUUUCUAUAAUCUAUCACCAUCAGCAGAUAUAUGCACUUGAAACAAACCAUCUGAAGCUACCUCUCAGAACCGCAGGUGGUAGAUAUAAUGUUUGAAUUUCCUGUAUAUACAAAAAGAAAUAGAAGAAUCGGCUACAAGUAGACUAGACAUGUCAAUUUUGAUUACGCUAGAAAUUCAGUAUGUGAGGCUUACCUUAGAAUGUUUUUCCCUCACUAAUGAUAUGAAGCAUAUAUAUAACUGACAGCUAAGUUAGACUUACUGAUUUAAUGCUAACGCUAGGUAACAUUUAUUCAAGUUGUAUUCAUUUAAAUCGUAGUUGGGACUAAAUGCAGUCCAGCAUCACUAAUAUUCUGUAUACUGGAAAAACAUUAAUAUUUCUAUUUCAAAAUGCUAAUAAAUUACUAUGAGACUUAUCUCUUGCAAAUUUUCCUGGACUUUCCUCUAUUAUUCAAAAACAUUGCAAUAUCUGGUUGCUGUGAUACAAUCAUAUGAGACCAUCCUAGACAUAUAAAAUUCCUGAAAUGUUUGAAGCUGCAUGGAGGAAUGGGUGAGGGAUGGAUAUUUUCUUCUGGGUGGGAUGAUUUUUUUCCAAAAAUAUUAAUACUAAUAUUCUCAUUUAGAAAUUGAAAGUCAUUUUAUUACUUUAGGAAAAUAAAAUACAUAAUAUUAUAAAUUUGGCAAAAAAUAUCACACUUUACCAUGUUUGAUGUAAAAAGUAUAAUUUAUAGGCCAUGUAAUUACAAAUUGAAGCGGAAACCAGAAGCAGAAGUUGCAAUUUCAUACUGAACAUAAAAUGUAUUUAUUUAUUUAUUUCCUGCUUUUUUCCCAAAGGGAGGUGUGAAUCAGCUUUUUCUUCCACAUAUGUGG